Molecule: long non-coding RNA, 1268 nt
Organism: Gorilla gorilla gorilla (western lowland gorilla)
Lineage: Eukaryota; Metazoa; Chordata; Mammalia; Primates; Hominidae
Exons: 2
Source: RefSeq, a predicted model, not a curated record
UGUGUGGAGGGUACUGAGGUCCACACUGUGUGUGUGGCGGUCUCUUGACCUGUGUAGGAGGCGUUUUGAAAAAAACCAACCAACCCAAGUUUGGCAAGCCUGUUCAGGAACAGACCGCGACUCCAGCCACCUCUGAGACUUCUCCAUCUCAUCGCCUACCUCAAUGUGAGAGCCCACAUGAAGGUCAGCGUCAGCGACUUCACACUCCACUGGCACUCCUCGAGCACCCACAGCACGCCCAGCACAGAGUGACAGAAGCUCCCUUGGGACAGCCCUCAUGGGCGCCACUGCAGUGAUGCUGGGGCUGUCACCUGGCAGGAGAAAGUUCAGGGCUCUUUCUGGGAUGCCAUAUGGCCCCUUUUCCAGAAUCUACCUUUUCCACUGUACUUGUUUUCCAGAGACUGGCCUCCUGGUGCUGCUCCUGUCUUUGGGAUUUCUCCAAAAGCAGCUACUAAACCUCCAGCACCCCCAAGCUUUUUCCCUUUUUGGGAGGCGACUGGGUCUGAAUGGUUCUGCUAACUAGAGGGGCCGUUCUGCCUUGACCUGAGCAGUGGGAGUGUUUGCCUCCUGGACACACACACACACACACACACACUGGCUUAGCGGUCGCCGUGGGUGAAGUCCCUCUGCUGAGCAUUACUGUGCCCUUAUCACGACUGCGGUGGUCACAGCAGUCAGAGUGCUUAAGGGAAGCUUCUUCACCUGCCAGGAGAGAGCAGGUGCCGGGAAAGCAGCUCCACCUCUUCCCCGCACCAGCCCGGUUCCUGAGCCCGUAAAAGAAGGGGCCUCUAGCACUGAUUUUCCCCGGAGGCUCAGGGCCCCCUAGGGCUCCCCUCUGCAGACAAGAGGGGCUGGCUGCCAUCAUUUCCGGGCUCCUGCCACUGUGCCUGGAGGACUGCCUGUGACCGUGCCCGCCGCCUUUCCUACUCUUGGAGGGCAAGGGUGGUCUCUGUGUCGGCCCCCAGUGCCCUUUCCUGGGGACUGUGUCUAGCAUUUGGGUGGCAGAGAGAGGCCAAGUGCCCUUCUCAGCAGCGCCCUGGCACCCAGGCUCAGGCCAUAGGCAGGGGGCCAAGGUGGGUGAUGAAGUUCCCUGGGGCCACCAGGCUUGCCCAGAAAGCAAGGAGUGGGUUAUGUCACCACCUAUUGCCGGAUCUGCUCAGCAAAGGUCAGCCUACCCUGAGUCUAUCACUGAUGGACAUUUGGGUUGGUUCCAAGUCUUUGCUAUUGUGAAUAGUGCUGUAAUAAACAUACGUGUGCAUGUGCCUUUA